UACGUAGGGGGCGAGCGUUGUCCGGAAUUAUUGGGCGUAAAGAGCGUGUAGGCGGUUCGGUAAGUCUGCCGUGAAAACCUGGGGCUCAACCCCGGGCGUGCGGUGGAUACUGCCGGGCUAGAGGGUGGUAGAGGCGAGUGGAAAUCCCGGUGUAGCGGUGAAAUGCGCAGAUAUCGGGAGGAACACCAGUAGCGAAGGCGGCUCGCUGGGCCAUUCCUGACGCUGAGACGCGAAAGCUAGGGGAGCGAACAGG
This 253-nucleotide ribosomal RNA is filed under the name uncultured bacterium. Its description in RNAcentral is "partial 16S ribosomal RNA". It matches the Rfam family "Bacterial small subunit ribosomal RNA", at positions 524 to 776 of the family's 1533-position model. The record is from RNAcentral.